This 305-nucleotide ribosomal RNA is filed under the name uncultured bacterium. Its description in RNAcentral is "bacterial SSU rRNA". It matches the Rfam family "Bacterial small subunit ribosomal RNA", at positions 337 to 635 of the family's 1533-position model. The record is from RNAcentral.
GCCUACGGGGGGCAGCAGUAGGGAAUCUUCCACAAUGGGCGAAAGCCUGAUGGAGCAACGCCGCGUGGGUGAAGAAGGUCUUCGGAUCGUAAAACCCUGUUGUUAGAGAAGAAAGUGCGUGAGAGUAACUGUUCACGUCUCGACGGUAUCUAACCAGAAAGCCACGGCUAACUACGUGCCAGCAGCCGCGGUAAUACGUAGGUGGCAAGCGUUAUCCGGAUUUAUUGGGCGUAAAGGGAACGCAGGCGGUCUGUUAAGUCAGCGGUAAAAGCCCGGGGCUCAACCCCGGCGAGCCGUGGAAACUG